Molecule: ribosomal RNA, 326 nt
Filed under: uncultured eukaryote
Lineage: Eukaryota
Description: partial 18S ribosomal RNA
Rfam family: Eukaryotic small subunit ribosomal RNA
Source: RNAcentral
CCCUUAGAUGUUCUGGGCCGCACGCGCGCUACACUGAUGCAUUCAACAAGCCUAGCCUUGACCGAGAGGUCCGGGUAAUCUUUGAAACUGCAUCGUGAUGGGGCUAGAUUAUUGCAAUUAUUAAUCUUCAACGAGGAAUGCCUAGUAAGCGUGAUUCAUCAAAUCUCGUUGAUUACGUCCCUGCCCUUUGUACACACCGCCCGUCGCUCCUACCGAUUGAAUGUGUUGGUGAGGAGCUCGGAUUGGCAGCAGUUGGUGGUUCGCCACCGGCUAUUGCUGAGAAGUCCUCCAAACCGCCCCAUUUAGAGGAAGGAGAAGUCGUAACA